AAUCAUGGCUCAGGAUGAACGCUGGCGGCGCGCCUAACACAUGCAAGUCGAACGGCACCUAUCUUUCGGAUAGAAGCGAGUGGCGUAACGGCUGAGUAACACGUGGAGAACCUGCCCCCUCCCCCGGGAUAGCCGCCCGAAAGGACGGGUAAUACCGGGAUACCCCGGGGUGCCGCAUGGCACCCCGGCUAAAGCCCCGACGGGAGGGGAUGGCUCCGCGGCCCAUCAGGUAGACGGCGGGGUGAACGGCCCCACCGUGCCGACAACGGGUAGCCCGGGUUG
This 282-nucleotide ribosomal RNA is filed under the name uncultured bacterium. RNAcentral describes it as "partial 16S ribosomal RNA". It matches the Rfam family "Bacterial small subunit ribosomal RNA", at positions 15 to 295 of the family's 1533-position model. The record is from RNAcentral.